This 497-nucleotide ribosomal RNA is filed under the name uncultured bacterium. Its description in RNAcentral is "partial 16S ribosomal RNA". It matches the Rfam family "Bacterial small subunit ribosomal RNA", at positions 28 to 507 of the family's 1533-position model. The record is from RNAcentral.
GAUGAACGCUGGCGGCGUGCCUAAUACAUGCAAGUCGAGCGAACAGACGAGGAGCUUGCUCCUCUGACGUUAGCGGCGGACGGGUGAGUAACACGUGGAUAACCUACCUAUAAGACUGGGAUAACUUCGGGAAACCGGAGCUAAUACUGGAUAAUAUAUUGAACCGCAUGGUUCAAUAGUGAAAGACGGUUUUGCUGUCACUUAUAGAUGGAUCCGCGCCGCAUUAGCUAGUUGGUAAGGUAACGGCUUACCAAGGCAACGAUGCGUAGCCGACCUGAGAGGGUGAUCGGCCACCCUGGAACUGAGACACGGUCCAGACUCCUACGGGAGGCAGCAGUAGGGAAUCUUCCGCAAUGGGCGAAAGCCUGACGGAGCAACGCCGCGUGAGUGAUGAAGGUCUUCGGAUCGUAAAACUCUGUUAUUAGGGAAGAACAAAUGUGUAAGUAACUAUGCACGUCUUGACGGUACCUAAUCAGAAAGCCACGGCUAACUACGUG